AAGCUUAUUUUGGUACCUGAUACAUCAUUUCAAAAGUGCAUCAGUUCUUAAGGAAAUGCACUCAUCACAUCAAACUCAAUAAUAGUUUAAGUAUAAGGACAAUCAUGAAUGUAUUGAGAUGAGUUUAAGGUGCUUCCCUUUUAUAAGAAUGGUCAGGAGUGGACUCCAAUUGAAUCCCCACUUGGUAAGACACAGUCCGGAUUAUGGAAGCUCAAUCACACACUUGGAACUGAGCUUCUUUGAUCCGGUUGGUACUGAGUAAUGCAAGAGUGAAUCCACCACUUGCAAACUCCAAUUUUGAUCAGAGGUGAGGCAAUGAACGACUUGGAUUGGCGCCAGUUGCUUCACCGUCAAAUCACCUUUGAGCUUCUUCUUAUGACCUGAGCUUGUCUCCCCCCUUUCUUCUGGCUUCUUGCCUCCAUUUAGGAGUUGAGACAAAGCUUUUCUUUGUUCAUGAGCUCAAUAGGUACCUGAUUCAAUCAUCCGAAAAAUGCAUGUAUCAAUUCUCAAGAGGCAAACCUAUUCACACAUAAGAAUAAUAAUGGUUUUAGGUACUUCCCUUGCAUCAGUUUGUUGAAUGUUGGUGAGGAUUGCUAAGCACUUGAAUCCUCCACGCCAUUCCUUCUCUCAACCAGCCUUUGCAUUUUUCUCUUGAAGUUUCAGCAUGUAGGGAAGCUCAGCACUUUUCAACUCCAUAAUUUGCCACCAUCAUGUGAUUGCUUAGCCAA
This 728-nucleotide long non-coding RNA is filed under the name Brassica rapa (field mustard). RNAcentral describes it as "long non-coding RNA (BRAP_LNC008514)". The record is from RNAcentral. Lineage: Eukaryota; Viridiplantae; Streptophyta; Magnoliopsida; Brassicales; Brassicaceae.